GUGGGGAAUCUUGCGCAAUGGGCGAAAGCCUGACGCAGCGACGCCGCGUGAGCGAUGAAGGCCUUCGGGUUGUAAAGCUCUGUGGGGAGGGACGAAUAAGGCCAGGCUAAUCACUGGUCGAUGACGGUACCUCCUUAGCAAGCACCGGCUAACUCUGUGCCAGCAGCCGCGGUAAGACAGAGGGUGCAAACGUUGUUCGGAUUCACUGGGCGUAAAGCGCGUGUAGGCGGUCAUGCAAGUCGGAUGUGAAAUCCCACGGCUCAACCGUGGUAGUGCACCCGAAACUACAUGACUCGAGUCCUGGAGAGGAAGGUGGAAUGCUUGGUGUAGAGGUGAAAUUCGUAGAGAUCAAGCGGAACACCAGUGGCGAAGGCGGCCUUCUGGACAGUGACUGACGCUGAGACGCGAAAGCGUGGGGAGCAAACAGGAUUAGAAACCCGGGUAGUCC
RNAcentral lists this ribosomal RNA (448 nucleotides) under uncultured bacterium. Its description in RNAcentral is "bacterial SSU rRNA". It matches the Rfam family "Bacterial small subunit ribosomal RNA", at positions 354 to 796 of the family's 1533-position model. The record is from RNAcentral.